Molecule: ribosomal RNA, 139 nt
Filed under: uncultured eukaryote
Lineage: Eukaryota
Description: partial 18S ribosomal RNA
Rfam family: Eukaryotic small subunit ribosomal RNA
Source: RNAcentral
UGGUGGAGUGAUUUGUCUGCUUAAUUGCGAUAACGAACGAGACCUCGGGCCCCUUAAAUAGCCCGGUCCGCAUUUGCGGGCCGCUGGCUUCUUAGGGGGGACUAUCGGCUCAAGCCGAUGGAAGUGCGCGGCAAUAACA